RNAcentral lists this transfer RNA (72 nucleotides) under Phrynosoma platyrhinos (Desert horned lizard). RNAcentral's name for it is "tRNA-OTHER". Lineage: Eukaryota; Metazoa; Chordata; Lepidosauria; Squamata; Phrynosomatidae. The record is from RNAcentral.
AUCCAGCGUGGCAUAGUGGUUUGAGUGUGGGACUACGACUCUGGAGACCAGGGUUCAAUUCCUGCUUGGCUA